RNAcentral lists this long non-coding RNA (1384 nucleotides) under Junco hyemalis (dark-eyed junco). RNAcentral describes it as "lncRNA (ENSJHYG00000012688.1)". Lineage: Eukaryota; Metazoa; Chordata; Aves; Passeriformes; Passerellidae. The record is from RNAcentral.
GGGCAUGUUGCAAAAGCCCCAGACAAAAUCAGCCAGGGAAGGCAGGAAAGGCAAAUAAAAUCAGGGAGGAAGGUUUCCCCUUUAUCCCAAGAGUCAAAGCAAACCAUGUGUGCACUAGUACAUGUGUGCAUAUGCAGGUGCACACAUGCUCACCCUCCUAUGCACCCAGUCUCCUAAAUUCAAAGGUAGUUUGUUCAUUUCUCUUUAUUCCACUAGGAUUCAGACAGCCGAAAAACCCAAUAAUUAAGAAGCUUUUGCUCAGUGCGACUGCCAAGCAGACAUCAGGUUGGCUGCAGCACUGUUUGGUGUGGAUAUGGCUCUCCAGUGAUUCAUAACCAGCCCAAUCGGAACAGGGUUCAUCAGUGCCCCAACCAACAAAAACACAACUGCAAUGUUUUCAGUUCUUUCCCUUCUCCUUUAAAGAGAAAUACACACACACGCAGAGGAAAAACAGAGCUAGAGAAUGCUUUCUAACCUGGUACAGCAUAUUACACUAAUUUGGGGAUGCUGUUACUCAUGCAUCAUUCACGACCCUGCCAAACCCAGGAACAAACAGUCCCUACAAUCUCGAUCGGACUGUCUGAGAUGAACUUUGUAGAGUUUUCCAAUCUGAAAGAGCCCAAAUAGGAAACAUCCUUCCCCACUGCUAGCUCCUGUAAUGGGCAGCAUACCAGGCAGUGUCCUUACCCUGAUCUGCUUCUCUAUUGAUAUUUUUGUCCAGCAGUGGCUGCAGGGCAGGUGAAGGGAUCUGCAAAUGUCAUGUGCUGUCAUCUUUCCACUGGCUGGCGUCAGAGCCCUCAGAGGCUCCGUGUUGGGACAGCUUCUCCCAUGGUGACAAAGUCCCUGGAAAUGAGGAGGAAGUUGAACGUGGACAUCACUUCUGCCCUGGAGGGACUACACCAUGAAGGGUGGCAGCUGCUCACCCACCAGUACCCCAAAGCCAUCCUUCCACAGAGUGUCAUGGAAGGGAAGGGUCCCUUGAGAGAGAAGGCUGGGGCUGCCUGGCAAGUUUUUCCCCUUGAAGCCAUUGAAGACCAAGAACCCCAGUUCACACAAUGCUUUUGUUAUCAGUGGACUCCUCCUUGCCAUGCACCAAGCAACCUUGCAUGGCAGCUCUGCAUCUUGACACAAUCAAGUGUGAAGGCCAAGGGACAUCAAGAAAAGUAAGCUGCACGUUCCUCCCCCUUGGCUUGCCUCUCCUAGCCCUGCAAGACACAGAAGUUGAAAGUUAAGCUUUUGAGUUACCAGCAAUUUCCACUUUGGUGCAUUAUUGACUUUGCUGCAGCGCUUUUAUAAGCCUGUUUGUAAGACAAUAGACAAUGGGAGAAGUUGCUGAGGCUCCCAGUGGACAUAUGUUGACAAUAAACCCCUGUAACAGAGGUCA